CCUACGGGAGGCUGCAGUGGGGAAUAUUGGGCAAUGGGCGCAAGCCUGACCCAGCAACGCCGCGUGAAGGAAGAAGGCUUUCGGUUUGUAAACUUCUUUUCUCAGGGACGAAACAAGUGACGGUACCUGAGGAAUAAGCCACGGCUAACUACGUGCCAGCAGCCGCGGUACGACGUAGGUGGGAAGCUUUAUCCGGAUUUACUGGGUGUAAAGGGCGUGUAGGCGGGAAAGCAAGUAAGAUGUGAAAACCCUGGGGUCAACCAGUGGCCUGUUUUUGAAACGGUGAUUCUUGAGUACUGGAGAGGUAGACGGAAUUCCUAGUGUAGCGGUGAAAUGCGUAGAUAUUAGGAGGAACACCAGUGGCGAAGGCGGUCUGCUGGACAGCAACUGACGCUGAGGCGCGAAAGCGUGGGGAGCAAACAGGAUUAGAUACCCCGGUAGUC
This 443-nucleotide ribosomal RNA is filed under the name uncultured bacterium. RNAcentral describes it as "partial 16S ribosomal RNA". It matches the Rfam family "Bacterial small subunit ribosomal RNA", at positions 338 to 795 of the family's 1533-position model. The record is from RNAcentral.